AGUAGUUGUACUCUGGCUCGGGAUGAACGCUGGCGGCGUGCUUAACACAUGCAAGUCGAACGAGUUAUCAUUUUGAAGCGAUUAGCUGCUAAGAGUGGAAAAGUUGAUAACUUAGUGGCGGACGGGUGAGUAACGCGUGGGUAACCUGCCUUACACAGGGGGAUAACACUUAGAAAUAGGUGCUAAUACCGCAUAAGCGCACAGUCCCGCAUGGGACAGAGUGAAAACAUUAGUGGUGUAAGAUGGACCCGCGUCUGAUUAGCUGGUUGGCGGGGUAACGGCCCACCAAGGCGACGAUCAGUAGCCGGCCUGAGAGGGUGGACGGCCACAUUGGGACUGAGACACGGCCCAAACUCCUACGGGAGGCAGCAGUGGGGGAUAUUGGACAAUGGGGGAAACCUUGAUCCAGCGACGCCGCGUGAGUGAAGAGGUAUUUCGGUAUGUAAAGCUCUAUCAGCAGGGAAGAAAGAAAUGACGGUACCUGAGUAAGAAGCCCCGGCUAACUACGUG
This 510-nucleotide ribosomal RNA is filed under the name uncultured Eubacteriales bacterium. Its description in RNAcentral is "bacterial SSU rRNA". It matches the Rfam family "Bacterial small subunit ribosomal RNA", at positions 1 to 507 of the family's 1533-position model. The record is from RNAcentral. Lineage: Bacteria; Bacillati; Bacillota; Clostridia; Eubacteriales.